AGAACGAACGCUGGCGGCAGGCUUAACACAUGCAAGUCGAACGCGUGUAGCAAUACACGAGUGGCGCACGGGUGAGUAACGCGUGGAUAUCUGCCUUUUGGUUCGGAAUAACCCCGGGAAACUGGGGCUAAUACCGGAUGGUUCCUACGGGAUAAAGAUUUAUCGCCAAAAGAUGAGUCCGCGUCCGAUUAGCUAGUUGGUGGGGUAAUGGCCUACCAAGGCGACGAUCGGUAGCUGGUCUGAGAGGACGAUCAGCCACACUGGGACUGAGACACGGCCCAGACUCCUACGGGAGGCAGCAGUGGGGAAUAUUGGACAAUGGGGGCAACCCUGGAUCCAGCCAUGCCGCGUGAGUGAUGAAGGCCUUCGGGUUGUAAAGCUCUUUUGGCGGGGACGAUGAUGACGGUACCCGCAGAAUAAGCCCCGGCUAACUUCGUGCCAGCAGCCGC
This 449-nucleotide ribosomal RNA is filed under the name uncultured bacterium. RNAcentral describes it as "SSU rRNA". It matches the Rfam family "Bacterial small subunit ribosomal RNA", at positions 26 to 518 of the family's 1533-position model. The record is from RNAcentral.